GAGCAGCUCUUUUCCUUGCCUUCUACAUUUGUGGCUGUUGCAUUUGGGUUCAUUCUCAUGUGCUUUAGCCAAAGACUUUGCCACUCUGCUAUUAUCAUCCCAUUCUAGCAACACAGAAAGGCAGUUUCAGUGAUUUGUACUUAUGUGUCAAUCACGCAUGUGGAUCUGUGGUGGCUCAGCCACCUGUGGGAGCUAUUCAACACAGGGAACAGAGGGUUUCCUGCUGUGCCUAACUCUGCCUGGGAUUUCUAUGGUGGCAAAUCUCAUUCUGGAAGUGGAGACAUCGAAAACUAUGGGGGCAUGUAUCAGGCUCACCAAGUCUGUGGGAUCUUGUCUCUUAGGAAACAUGGUUAGAAGGAUAAGCAGUUCUGCCAACUUCUCUGAGGCCAGCGUGGCCUGGUCAUCUAAACAGCUUACAGUGAUGCACACCUGCCUUCAAGCUUGGAAUGCUCUACCAAAUUCAAGAAAUGCUGCUAUUCAGAAAUUCAGCUGUUAGAAGAUACUGGAAGCAUACUCUGUGUCUUCAGUCAGUGAGUAAAGUAAGUCUGAUGAAUUGUGGUUUUGAAGCAGAUAAUCUAGAAUUUUUUCUUGAUUUAGGUCUGGCUUCUGAAUCUUUUCCAGAACAUGAAGCACUAACUGGCUGAUCACAGAAGAGGUAACUCAUCUCCUCUUUCUUAUUCCUCAAGACAAAUAAGCUCAUGUUAGCAGCAAGGAAGUAAGUCCAAAGCACAGAAAUGCUGGUGCAUCCCUUUAUUUGCAGUAAGGAUUCUUUUUAAGUUUAAGUUGAAGACAGGUAUCCAC
This is a long non-coding RNA of Tympanuchus pallidicinctus (lesser prairie-chicken), 801 nucleotides long. RefSeq lists it as uncharacterized. The record is from RefSeq and is a predicted model, not a curated record. The transcript is spliced from 4 exons. NCBI's taxonomy places the organism in Eukaryota, Metazoa, Chordata, Aves, Galliformes, Phasianidae.